Nicotiana attenuata is the source of this 908-nucleotide long non-coding RNA. RefSeq lists it as uncharacterized. The transcript is spliced from 3 exons. The record is from RefSeq and is a predicted model, not a curated record. NCBI's taxonomy places the organism in Eukaryota, Viridiplantae, Streptophyta, Magnoliopsida, Solanales, Solanaceae.
GCCAUAACCUUAUUUUUUACUUUUACCGAGACACCACAAUUCAUUUCUCACUGCCAUAACCUCUCCCUCUUCUCCGCCACUGCCACACCCUCCUUAGAGCCCCAAAAACUCUCCUCCAUGAAUGCCGCCCUCCAUACAAUUGUGACACUAGUUUCCUCGACCAACCCCACCACUUGAGAACUGUCUGCCACUAUCAAAACCAACAGCGAUGGCCGCCCGACAUCAGUAAUUUCAUCGCACUUACUGUUAGACUCAUGAAAUCUCCUAAAGCCAUCAAUUCAUUCUGCAAAAGUCGGUAGAUCUAUUUGAGGUUUCUUCGCUAGAAAUCGGUGGCGGAGGGAGAACAAGAGGAAAUUAUAAUUUUUUUGGGUUUCAUCCUUAAUCAUCUUUUUUAGCUUAUUAAUUUCUUGUUGAGUCCAUUAUUUUCUUUCAGUUAAAGCUUUGAAUCUAAAUUGGGGAUCUCUUUGAGGUUUCUUAUAUUAUAAUUCCUCCCCUUUGCUCUUGAUUUUGUAAAGAAAAUAGAAUAUUUCUUUUUCGUUUAUAUCCUUAAUGUUGUUUGUAAGUAGGAUGCACUGAUUAUGUUUUCUGUGUUGUUCAUAGUUAUAAUUUUGGCCCAAUUACAUGUCCCAGCUUAGGUUUUGCUUUGCCUCUCACAUUUGGUGGUUUACUAGAGCUACUAUAUCUAUGCUUGAGCAGGUUUGCAAUUGGCUUUAUCACCGACUAUGACCUUCUUGAAGGUAAAGCAAAUGAACGAGGGUAGAUGAAAGUUGUGAAGAUCUUACUCAAGAGUAUUGGUUGAUUUUUGAUAAGACUUUUAGAUGUUAUGGAAUCUUUUAUUUUAGAAACUUUUGACAACUUAUGUAUUAAUUUUUAAAUUGUAAUGACCCGACCGGUUGUUUUGAGCCCUA